GCGGAGCGGCGCCGGAGGAGGAAGUGGUGAGGUUGUUGCUCACUCAGCGCCUACCGCUGGCUGUUGGGGCUCAGAGAGGGGCCGCAGUCUCUGCGGCUGCGUCGCGCUCCCCUGCAGUCCCCUCCAUGUUCCCCGGCGCCACCACUCCCCUUCCUAAGGCCGCCGCUUACCCCGGGGUCUAUGGAAGUAAUGGAAGGACCCCUCAACCUGGCUCAUCAACAGAGCAGACGAGCAGACCGUUUAUUAGCUGCAGGCAAAUACGAAGAGGCUAUUUCUUGUCACAAAAAGGCUGCAGCAUAUCUUUCUGAAGCCAUGAAGCUGACACAGUCUGAGCAGGCUCAUCUUUCACUGGAAUUGCAAAGGGAUAGCCAUAUGAAACAGCUUCUCCUCAUCCAAGAGAGAUGGAAAAGGGCCCAGCGGGAAGAAAGAUUGAAAGCCCAGCAGAACACAGAUAAGGAUGUAGCUGCCCAUCUUCAGGCAUCUCACAAACCCUCUGCAGAGGAUGCAGAGGGCCAGAGCCCCCUUUCUCAGAAGUACAGCCCUUCUACAGAGAAGUGCCUGCCAGAGAUUCAGGGGAUCUUUGACAGGGAUCCAGACACACUACUAUAUUUACUUCAGCAAAAGAGUGAGCCAGCGGAGCCAUGUAUUGGAAGCAAAGCCCCAAAAGAUGAUAAAACAAUUAUAGAGGAGCAGGCAACCAAAAUUGCAGAUUUGAAGAGGCACGUGGAGUUCCUUGUGGCUGAGAAUGAAAGAUUAAGGAAAGAAAAUAAACAACUAAAGGCUGAAAAGGCCAGACUUCUAAAAGGUCCAGUAGAAAAGGAGCUGGAUGUAGAUGCUGAUUUUGUAGAAACAUCAGAGUUAUGGAGCUUGCCACCACAUUCAGAAACUGCUACAGCCUCCUCAACCUGGCAGAAGUUCGCAGCAAAUACUGGGAAAGCCAAGGACAUUCCAGUCCCCAAUCUUCCUCCCUUGGAUUUUCCAUCUCCAGAACUUCCCCUUAUGGAGCUCUCUGAGGAUAUUCUGAAAGGAUUUAUGAGUAAUUAAAAUGGAAGGCCACAGAAAAGGGGAAAAGAGGAAAUAAUACAGUCAUCACUAAUCCAGCAAAAAAAAAAAAAAAAAAAAAAAA
This is an RNA transcript of Rhinopithecus roxellana (golden snub-nosed monkey), 1126 nucleotides long. It is a transcript of the gene named nuclear receptor-binding factor 2 pseudogene, with no coding region annotated. The record is from RefSeq and is a predicted model, not a curated record. Lineage: Eukaryota; Metazoa; Chordata; Mammalia; Primates; Cercopithecidae. The transcript has a single exon.